RNAcentral lists this long non-coding RNA (431 nucleotides) under Heterocephalus glaber (naked mole-rat). RNAcentral's name for it is "lncRNA (ENSHGLG00000043329.1)". Lineage: Eukaryota; Metazoa; Chordata; Mammalia; Rodentia; Bathyergidae. The record is from RNAcentral.
CUUGCUGGCUAGGAUGUCUUCAAGGCUAGUCAUUCUCUAGAAGCUUCAACAUAUUUGAAGAGUUUUUAGGCACAAAGGAAACUUACAGAGAGGGUGCCUCUCUUGUUUGAAUGAAAGACUUGGAAGUUUCACAAUCAUUAUGACUAUAAACAGACUGGGCAAAUAAAAUGCAGUGAUGAGAGAAAGCAAGGCCCACAGAAAGGCAGGUCACCCAGCCAGCAAUGGCAAGGCAAGCUGGCUGAGAAUGCGGUACCUACGAUCAGAUGGGUCCAGUUCGAAUCCCAACUUUGCCACGUACUGGUUAAGUGCGCAAGACAAGUAACAUCAUCUCAUAAGCCCAGUUCUCCUCUGUGAAGGGGUAACAAGAGUUCUACUCUGCGUGGAUGCAGAUGUAAUGAGAUCACGUACUAAGGACCCUGAAGACUCAAAGC